This 510-nucleotide ribosomal RNA is filed under the name uncultured bacterium. Its description in RNAcentral is "partial 16S ribosomal RNA". It matches the Rfam family "Bacterial small subunit ribosomal RNA", at positions 28 to 507 of the family's 1533-position model. The record is from RNAcentral.
GACGAACGCUGGCGGCGUGCUUAACACAUGCAAGUCGAACGAAGAGCGAUGGAAGCUUGCUUCUAUCAAUCUUAGUGGCGAACGGGUGAGUAACGCGUAAUCAACCUGCCCUUCAGAGGGGGACAACAGUUGGAAACGACUGCUAAUACCGCAUACGAUCUAAUCUCGGCAUCGAGGAUAGAUGAAAGGUGGCCUCUACAUGUAAGCUAUCACUGAAGGCGGGGAUUGCGUCUGAUUAGCUAGUUGGAGGGGUAACGGCCCACCAAGGCGAUGAUCAGUAGCCGGGCUGAGAGGAUGAACGGCCACAUUGGGACUGAGACACGGCCCAGACUCCUACGGGAGGCAGCAGUGGGGAAUCUUCCGCAAUGGACGAAAGUCUGACGGAGCAACGCCGCGUGAGUGAUGACGGCCUUCGGGUUGUAAAGCUCUGUUAAUCGGGACGAAAGGCCUUCUUGCGAAUAGUGAGAAGGAUUGACGGUACCGGAAUAGAAAGCCACGGCUAACUACGUG